This 250-nucleotide long non-coding RNA is filed under the name Mytilus galloprovincialis (Mediterranean mussel). Lineage: Eukaryota; Metazoa; Mollusca; Bivalvia; Mytilida; Mytilidae. The record is from RNAcentral.
CACUAUUUGACCUUAAAAACUGUCAAUCUUCUCCGAAACCAAUGAACCAUUUAGAAUCAAUUUUAGCCAGUCAUCCUUUAAUUUAUGUGAUAAACCAAGCAACAUGCAUCUAACAGAACAAAUAAAAUAGAUGAACAGCAAUCUUAUGUCUCCAGCUGCUCCUCAUAUUUUGUCUGUCCAAGCCCAAUAACUACAAUAAUUUUUAUUUUAAAUGUUCUUAUAAUUUUACAAGAACUGUGGGGUGAGCAAC